CCUACGGGGGGCUGCAGUGAGGAAUAUUGGUCAAUGGACGAGAGUCUGAACCAGCCAAGUAGCGUGAAGGAUGACUGCCCUAUGGGUUGUAAACUUCUUUUAUAUGGGAAUAAAACGUUCCACGUGUGGGAUUUUGUCUGUACCAUAUGAAUAAGGAUCGGCUAACUCCGUGCCAGCAGCCGCGGUAAUACGGAGGAUCCGAGCGUUAUCCGGAUUUAUUGGGUUUAAAGGGAGCGUAGGUGGAUUGUUAAGUCAGUUGUGAAAGUUUGCGGCUCAACCGUAAAAUUGCAGUUGAAACUGGCAGUCUUGAGUACAGUAGAGGUGGGCGGAAUUCGUGGUGUAGCGGUGAAAUGCUUAGAUAUCACGAAGAACUCCGAUUGCGAAGGCAGCUCACUGGACUGCAACUGACACUGAGGCUCGAAAGUGUGGGGAUCAAACAGGAUUAGAUACCCCUGUAGUC
This 460-nucleotide ribosomal RNA is filed under the name uncultured bacterium. RNAcentral describes it as "partial 16S ribosomal RNA". It matches the Rfam family "Bacterial small subunit ribosomal RNA", at positions 338 to 795 of the family's 1533-position model. The record is from RNAcentral.